CAGGAUUUUUAUUUAUCUUAGUGGCGGACGGGUGAGUAACGUGUGGGCAACCUGCCCUAUACUGGGGAAUAAUCACUGGAAACGGUGACUAAUACCGCAUGUCAUUACGGAAGGGCAUCCUUCUGUAAGAAAAGGAGUGAUCCGCUUUGAGGUGGCCUCGCGUCCGAUUAGCUGGUUGGUGAGGUAACGGCCCACCAAGGCGACGAUCGGUAGCCGGACUGAGAGGUUGAACGGCCACAUUGGGACUGAGACACGGCCCAGACUCCUACGGGAGGCAGCAGUGGGGAAUAUUGCACAAUGGGGGAAACCCUGAUGCAGCGACGCCGCGUGGAGGAAGAAGGUCUUCGGAUUGUAAACUCCUGUUGUUGAGGAAGAUAAUGACGGUACUCAGCAAGGAAGUGACGGCUAACUACGUGCCAGCAGCCGCGGUAAAACGUAGGUCACAAGCGUUGUCCGGAAUUACUGGGUGUAAAGGGAGCGCAGGCGGGAGAACAAGUUGGAAGUGAAAUCCAUGGGCUCAACCCAUGAACUGCUUUCAAAACUGUUUUUCUUGAGUAGUGCAGAGGUAGGCGGAAUUCCCGGUGUAGCGGUGGAAUGCGUAGAUAUCGGGAGGAACACCAGUGGCGAAGGCGGCCUAC
RNAcentral lists this ribosomal RNA (638 nucleotides) under uncultured bacterium. Its description in RNAcentral is "bacterial SSU rRNA". It matches the Rfam family "Bacterial small subunit ribosomal RNA", at positions 71 to 729 of the family's 1533-position model. The record is from RNAcentral.